UGGGGUCCUUAACUUCGUGUAUUUGAAACUAUAUGUGACCAUACUUAUCUUGGUAUUGUCUGAUAAAAACUAGGAGAAUGUGAAUCACGAUUUACAAGUCAAUUUCUAUUAACCUGACAGAUAUAUACAUAGAAUUGGUAUAUGAUUAUAAACUUGCUGAAAAGAAAUGCUGAACGUGUGGUUGGAACAAGAGAAAAGUUUGAGGCUGAAUAUAAUCAAAUAUAGGUACUAGUUAACCUAGCUAGUGGUACUCGAUGAGGGUCGCAUGGGAUGAUCUCGCGCCAAAUCUGGCAAUACUCGCACAAGAAAGUCACGAAAGCGUGUUGUGAAUGACAUCAGUUAACUAUUGUUUUGAUUAUAAAAUUUUAGGCAGGUCGUAAUAUAUGAUUUGGUGACAGUUUCAGUUAGGC
Molecule: long non-coding RNA, 410 nt
Filed under: Brassica napus (rape)
Lineage: Eukaryota; Viridiplantae; Streptophyta; Magnoliopsida; Brassicales; Brassicaceae
Description: long non-coding RNA (BNAP_LNC005014)
Source: RNAcentral